ACCAGCUGGAGAGUCCCAAAUAAGACGAAACGGACGUCCUGGAU
This 44-nucleotide non-coding RNA is filed under the name Schistosoma mattheei. Lineage: Eukaryota; Metazoa; Platyhelminthes; Trematoda; Strigeidida; Schistosomatidae. The record is from RNAcentral.